Molecule: RNA transcript, 629 nt
Organism: Erythranthe guttata (spotted monkey flower)
Lineage: Eukaryota; Viridiplantae; Streptophyta; Magnoliopsida; Lamiales; Phrymaceae
Source: RefSeq, a predicted model, not a curated record
CAUGUGCAUUUCCACUAGGCUUUUCAAAUUAGCAUUUUAUUUUAAGAUAACUUAAAUAAAAUUGCCUAGAAGUUCCUCUAGAUUAUUUCAAGUUACUCCUAAUUGCAAAAAGACCCCUCUUCAAUACUUACUCAUUAAGAUCCAAGCCUCUCCAAUUCUAUAAAUACCACCCUCUCCUCUUCAUUUCCACACACCAAAAAAAUCAGCUAAGUCCCCUUCUCAUUCCCCCUCUCCAUCGAUCAAAAUAGCCCAAGUAGAAGAAGAAAUCUCUUCUACUAAUUCAAGCCUUCCCCAUUAAAUAUAUUCCUCUUUUCUUCCUUAAUUUCGAAAUUUGUAGUGUGGUAAAGUUCAAGAACUCUUUUCAUUUAAAUAAAAGAGGUUCUUCAAAAAGAAGUUGGUUUGCAAAUAUCCACAAAGUUCUUCAAAUUUUGAAAAGAUCCUAAGGUAACUCAUGAUCCGAAUCCGAGGAGCAAAGUUGAACCAAGUUCGAGGAAAGCCGAGGGAUCGAGCCGUAUGGAAAUUAUGUGGAUUUUAAAAAACUUUCGUUUUGGUACGUAAAUCUUUUAGUGGAUUGUAAUCCGUAGUACUUGAACAUGUUACCGGGAAAUGAUUUUAACCCUUAUGUAUAA